Cuculus canorus (common cuckoo) is the source of this 7415-nucleotide long non-coding RNA. RefSeq lists it as uncharacterized. The record is from RefSeq and is a predicted model, not a curated record. Lineage: Eukaryota; Metazoa; Chordata; Aves; Cuculiformes; Cuculidae. The transcript is spliced from 6 exons.
UGAUGAGAUCGUGUGAAACAGCCACCCCCCAUUUCUUCCUCCUCCAUUGGUGGACACAAGGUCUGAACACUGUAACUCCUCUACGUUCCUUCUCAAUAGAUUAUUCCUGUCGAGUAUCUGAAAGGCGUUUGUGGGUUAUUUCAGACUAGCAUGGCAUUCUGGCUUGUCUUUUUGCUUCUCUCUUAGAACUCUCUUUAAUGACUGAGCUGUUGAAGGUUGUUUCAGCUAGAGUUCUGGAUAGAUUUCAAGGAACAACCUUGAGACAACAAUGCUGUUCUGAGUGUGAAGACUUGUAGUUCAAGUGCUUCUAUGCGUGUGGCUUUGCCUUUUUAAGUAGCAGUUAGAAAUGCAUAAAUCACAUAUGAAGAUAUGGAGCUCUCAUUACCUUUGUAAAAAAUUUCUGAUCUUCAGAUUUUAUGAUAACCAGCCCUGUCUACAUUGCAUUGCUGCUUUAGUAGAGAGAUAAGAUCUGGAUUGAGGAUUUCUAGCUGUAAAAUGUGAUACACAGACUGUAUUCCUCUUACAGCCUUCCUGAAAGUGAAAGUUGCAUGUCGGAAAUAGCAUUAUGGUGGCAAGUAGCCAGCAGAGAGCUGAUGUAUCCCUUGCCAAACAAAGUGGAUCACUCUGAUUGUUUGAUAAUGAGUUAUUGCAGUUAAAAAUAACCACUCACCCAUCAACAGAGCAGAAGAGAAUUUGCAAUAUGAAGUACUAGAUUUUAUUAUUGAGAAGUGAAAGUUGAAUUAUAGUAAUUUUCUUUUUGUGAAGUGUUAUAGCUAGAGUUCCACUGAUAAAGAUUAAAAUAUCUGAAUAAGUAAUCUUAGACUGCUGAAUGGCUACAGCUAGGUUUAUCGCAUUAAUAGCUAUGGAUUUCUCAUCAGUUGAAAUCAAUACAGGAAGCGAGGUUUUGGGUUCAGUGCAGGAAACAUAGAUAAUACUGUGGCUGGUGUCAUACAGGAAGCGAGGUGAAAUUACCAUUGGGAUUACCAUUGGGAUUCCUUUGGUCUUCGAGUUUGUCUGACUCAGUCUAUUUGAAUAGAUCUAUCAAAGUUGUUGUAUUAGCCAUAAUGUUAAAAUUCUGCUUGGAUGAUAGUGGGGGAAAAAACACCAUAGAAAAAUAAAAGAUCUGUUUGAGAAACUUUGUUCUUAUGGAAUGUGGACUUACAAACAUUUUUAGGUCUAUGUAUACACACACACGCACAUAAAAAAGCUUUGAUUUCUAUUCUGUAAAAGCUAAUACGAUGAUAGUAAAAUACCAGAAAAUCCCAAAAUCCUCCAAAAUGAAAAAUGCUCUUUCUACCUUGGCCUUCAGAAAUGCCUAUAAAAUAUACUGAUUUUUAUAGCCUUUGAUUCUCUGAUAGAGGCACCAAAUAUUGCACAGCUGAAUAGCGCUGAGUGGAGCUGUAGUUAUGAAUGAAUCUUUCAAACUUUGUUCACUAUUUCUGUCCACUAUAGAAUAAGCCACUUACUUAUUUUUUCCUUUUUAAUAAACCUUUCUCAUUUCCUCAGUUGAAAUUCAUUUGUGGCAGAGAUAAAAAAGGACUUCCAUUUACAAUACUUGUGUUUUGAAUCUCAUAUCUGGAGAAAAUAUACCUCCAGAUGUGUACAGAAUUGUGUUAAUGCCCUGUAUUUAACAUCCGGAAUGUAUACAAGUUGUCUGUGUGUGGUAUUUGUAUUCAGUAGACCUGUUGUCUCAUCAGUACAGUGAGCCGUUGGCGGGAAGCUUCUCUGUUACGAGUAUGCAUAUGUACCCUGUGUAUAGAAUGGAGGUGAAGUAUAUAUGUUAAUGUCUGUUAAAGCAUGAAAUAAGGAUACUGGAUAGGUCACUUCUUGCUGAACUUGUUACCCUGCUGUAUUUGGCUUAACCAUAGGCUGGAUGAAUUUAGCAAGGACUCCUUGGGUGAGGUGAAAGAUGGAGCUAAUUGGACCUCUCCCAGAAAAAAUAAAAGACUGAGAGGAAAGUUCAAGGGAAGCCCCCAGUAGACUGCCUGGCACAUGUGCCUGACUGCGCAGCAGGGGGAUGUACAAAAACAAAUGAAUUUGGUUGAGCUGCAGAGGGAACAAUAUAACUGCCAGCAAGAAAUCCCACAAUCCCUGGUUAUUAUGGGGGGACAGACCAGCCAGAUCAUGAGAAGUGCAAAGUAGGUAGUGUAAUGGCUAGGAUGACUGAGAUUUUACUUGCUUAGCUCCCACGCUUGUCUUGCUAAAUCCGUUCUCUGCCUCAACAGAUGGGCUAUAGUCUGUUCCAUUUGUGAGCUGCACCCAGUGCUCCAAAUUGGGAGUAACAAACAUCUGAAGCAGUGAGUUUGCACUUCAUUCCAUGGUGCUGUGGUGAAAGUCAGGCCUUUUAAGUUGAAGAGAAGAUGGUAAAUAAUCAGUGUAAAACUUUGAAAUAACAGAUUUAGCUCUGUUAAUUCACUUUAUAAUUGCUGUAAUAAUAAUGCUGAGCUUGUUAAAUAUCAACAUUAAUGCCAUAGGUACUUGUGUAGGAGAUCUACUGGGCUGUAGGUCUAAUUAGCUGGUUGCUUAAAAUAUUGUCAGUGUGAAGACUCUGUUUAAAACAACAACAAAAGAAUCUGUAGUAUGUGUUUGUACUAAGAACAGAUACAUUGGAGAGCUGAAUGCUGUUGCUUUUAAGGUUUGCUGACUUGUUUUCGUUGCUUAGUGGAGAGAGCUUUCUCCUGUCCUUCCAUGCAGAGCUACACGAUUACCUGGCACCCAUAUGGAGCAUUCCUGAGAGAAAAAAAACAGGGCUGUGUAGAGGCAAUUCUGAGUGUUUUGUGUCAUUGUCUUUCCCAUCUUGCCACUUCUGAUUGCUCUUGCUCUAGGACAGGAGUCUGGGUCCAGGGAUGUAGCAAAGCAGCUCCUUCUAGUUAAGCUUUGGUAUUUUAUUGAAAUUGAAGUUAAAGCCAAUAGGUUUUUGCAUUACUUUUAACCUUGCCUACAGUCCUUUGCAGUAUGCAUUUCACCAUUGCUGGCUGCUUGCAGUAUGGUCACUUCUUAAACCUUAUUUUAGAUGUGACAGAUGUUUUUAAUGGGGAAGAGAUGCGGUAUCUUGCCAGAUGAGUUUUCAAAGCAUACUGAGCAAGGUGAGCUCAGCUUUCACUUAAAAAUACCAUGCUUCAUUCAGUUCCUAAGUUUCACAAUCAUAUAUCCAGUAACUUCUCAAAUCCAGUUUUAGGAGCAGGUUGGCAUCUAUCUUGCUGUCAGGUUCAGAGACCUAAAGAAGAAUAUUGUCUCUGCAGAACUGUACUGCUAAGAGCUAGACUUCAGUGUAUCUCAUAGCACAUUGUUCUGGGCAGUAUGGGCAGACUCAGAGCCUACAUAUGAUUCCCUGCCUUGCAAGUUUUGCCAGCUUCCAUAGUGGAUAAUGGAAAUCUUUUGCAGAUCUAGGAAAACAUGGUUUCUUCAGUCUGUCUCUUAAGGAUUCAGGAUUCUUGCCUUAGGUCUAGGGUUCCCUGCUACAGUUCCUAAAGUCAUCCAAGAUGGGUGUAACAGACAUAAAUCACAUCCUGGGUCAGGUGUUAGGAAUGUAACUUCCUCAUGCUCACUUCAUAGUGAAUUUCACCACAUUUCAUACAAUUUUCCAUUUAAAAAGUUAGUGUUGUGGGGAGUAGCACAGCUCUUGUUGCACCUACCAUCUACAGUUUCCUGUGGACCUGAAUGGGUCACAAUGACUUUCAGCUUGAGCUGGGUAUUUUUGAAAUUUAGUGUUUAACAGACCCAACGAUUAGUCCUGUCUCUGUGUACUCAAAUGAUUUGAAUACCAUUAACGCUUUCUGCAUUCAAGGUUCUCAUCUUUCAUUAUUGAUCUCUGUUUUGCAAGUACCACCUUGUACAGGGUAAAUAAACUUAAAAUAGUGUUUCUCCAAAUUCUUGAAUGGGUUGAUGUGAGUCACCACGAAAAGUUCCUUGCAGAUUUUCCUCUGCUUUUUCCAUCAGGCUUUUAAUAAAAAGCACUGCAUGAGUCGUACACUUCUGUAAACCAAAUCUGGUCCACUUGUCAGCGUCUGAUGGGACCAUCGUUUGAGAAUGACCGCUCUGGAAACACAGCUGCAGUAGAAAUGUAGUACAUGUUCUUGCUUUCCCAAAAAGAUUGCACAAGGGCUGGAACUCCAGAAGCUGAGAUAAGAGCCCUACCCUUUCUUUGGUGUGGUGAGCAUGAUAUGGAGGAUGGAGAGCAAAGCUAGAACAAGAUGCUGCCAAGAUUUUCCUUUGUACAUAUCUGAUCAGUUUGUGCCAGGUUUGGCUCCAUGCCUUUUCAGAUGAGAGACUCUAUGAUGAGCACAAGGUGGUUGGGCACUUGGAGCAGCAACAGAGACAGGAGAAGCUGGGGUGGGGAUGGCUUCUACUCAACUACGGCAUGGGAUCUGUGAGAAAUACCUUGGGAAGACGUUGCCAGGGGUGUAUCUUUUUUUCUGGAGAGUGCAGAUGAAAGAGUGUCUGGGAGUCACGUUAUGUGCAUGGAUAAAGGGAAUUCUGAUUUACUGGCUCUGGCUCCCCAGGGGCAGGGAUGCUCUUCUAGCACAACUCACGGUUAUGUGACAAAGAGCUCCCUGAAGGGAUUGUAUGCGUUUCUUGUUCAAAAUCUCCUAUGAGAAAAAUUAAGUUAUUGGACUCCCGGUCACCCUGAAAAUGAUUACAGCCGUCCCCUGCAACUCUGUCUCCCCUCACAGACUUUAGCAUGGCAUGCCAGUUUCCCUGCUGCUGAGAUGGUAAUGAUGGAGAGAAGUGAAAUGAAAGAAGUUUAUAAAAAGAGAGUGGUAUCUUCCUAGGCCAGUCUCCGCUCUCGGCCAGCCAGGAGCGCCACUCCAGACCAAGAUUGGGUUUCCUUUGCUGCUGUGGCUCCUCUGGUCCAGUCAUGCUCACUGUGAAGCUGCUAGCAGACGUUUUCCUGACUCCCCCUGCCACAGAUCCAACCCAAGCUGCUUCUCUGCACCCUCACACUCCCACCAUGGUCCUCCCCCUUUUUUUUUUUUUUCCACUGGCCUCCUACUUACUACAGGAUAUGAGCCACUCUCCAGAGGGAAAUAAAAGUUUGGAUUAAAAUUUGGCUUAUUAUUCCUUCUCUAAAAGCAGCUUUCAGGCUGAAAAUAUCCAAGGAUGGAUUUCCAAAGGAGCGCAGGAGAUUUAGGGACAGACUUUUAAGGUCUUUUAGCUACAUUAAAAUGAAAUUACAGGUCCCUUGCAAUUUUUUCAGCAGAAGGAGGUGCUUUUGAAACGUGCACGUGAUAUCCGUUUAUGUCUUUUAGGCAUCUAAAUGCUGCCAGAGAACUGGGGUUUGAACACCUAAGUCCCCUUGAAAGCAAAGAGAGCCAGGCAUCGACUCCCGUACAUUCCUUCCAAAUUCCAGCCAAAAUUGUUGUCCAACUUGGAGCACAAAGUUCUAAUACAAGAGAUUAUAAACCCUAUUUCCGCUCUGCUUUAGCAGGCAGCUUAGCACCAGGGGAAAAAACCACAACACAUAGUGUUGACUGUAUAAACAUCUUGUUUAAAGGGUAACAUCUUCCUGAUUAAUAGCCUUUCAGUAUUAAAAAGAAUCAGUCUAGAGCAUGAUUAAUUGUCCCUUCUACUACUAGUAACCAAAUAUAUGUGUAUAUAUACAUACAAAUGUAUAUACAUACACUUGUGUAAAUGCACAAGCACAUUCUCACUGGAGGAAGCAUUUUUAGCGUGUCUGUUUUCAAAGAAAAUACAAUAUGCAGGAGGUGAGGGCUGCUUUUUACAACGUGGGCAGACGGGAAUGGUUUCAGUUCUUGUAACCCUUUGUUGUAAGAACCAAAGUAUUGCUGUCCUGGUAAAAAGCAUGAAACACUCACCUGGGCAGGGAAGGAGACCAAGAAAGAGGCAGAAGACACUUUGCUUUUCAUCUGGGGAAUGAAUUUUGCUCAGUCGUCAGGGAUGCUCAUUGCAUUUCUACUUCAUCUAUGCUUUACUUGUGGGACUGACAAGGUUAAUGACAAUAAAAAGUUUUCAUUUAAAAGUUGGCAAGGAGAGGUACUUUUCCCCUGACAGAGAUAAUCAAAUUUCAAGUAAUGAUUUAAAAAGACAGUCCUGCCUGGCCCAACCUGUCAGAUGACAGCAAACGCACAACAGUGACACCAUCUUUAUAAGCAAAGACUUUCCCCCCCCACACACCUUCUUGCUCUAAUAUCUAAAUAGCUGAACAGGUCAACUGUUACAUUUGAGUAAUGUCCAGAAAUUUCAGUUAAGCUCAUGGGCUAAAACAAAACACCAUCCUUGCUUUAUUUGACUCAGUCUGCUACAGAUUUUACAUAAAACUCCUCCUGAUCCUACACACGGCUUGAUGAGCCUCAACAGGAUGAUCUCAUGUGUACAAUCAUGGCCUAACAUGUCUAAAUGAGGUACUAAUCCAAGUAAGCAAGACCCCCAGCCCACCACAGUCUCUCCUAGGUCUCAUGGAUUUCCUCCUCAUCUGUCCCACCUUGCAGAACUCAAGUUUUAACAUCGGGUAUCUCCAGAGCAAGUGGCGUGAGCCAGAGUAGAAUUUAUUGCUCUUUUGGCAUUUGCAGUAGUCAGAGGCUGCAAAAAGCGCAUUCACUGUUGCUGCUGAAAGAUAAAAUACAGUUCUGUAUUAUGUGUACAGUCCCUGUGUACACACUCGCCUACACUCUGUGAAGAGUUUUCUUUAUGGUUGGAAAAGAAUUUUUCAAAGUUUGCUUGAAGAACAACACCAAAAUCUGUAGCACCGUGUUGGGACACCCUCAAAGCUUCAGGCUCUCAGCCUAAGCAGAAAGAAAUCCAUUGCCACUUUUAAGGAAGCAGAAGCAAACAAGAAAGCAAAAGCAAACACAAAACCCGUUCUCAAUGGUUAGAGAUUAAAAGCUCCAUCAGCAUUAGAGAUGUAACGUUCAUGGCCCGUGAUUUUCUACAGAGAGGUCUGAAUAAGAGAAGCCGCCCUGCUGGGGAUGAAGAGGGUACUGUUGGUCUGAGACAACAGCUGUGGCAGGUGCAAACUAGCUGUGACGGUGACAGCCCGAGAUGUCCUGCUCUGGGGACACGCACACGUACACGGUGCACAGACACGCACCCGUUGGCACACAAGGGAGAAGGCACCAACCCAUUCCUUCCUGGGCAUCUCCUUGUUUUCUGCUAGGGAUGAGGAGUGGCCUGGUGAGCGGGCAGGAGGGGCAGAGCAUGCCCUGCUGUCCCUGGGGAUGGCUUAGGGCUGGGUGGCAGCCCUUGGGUUGCUCCCCAGCAGCAGUGGGGCUGCUCCUCCAGCCCCCACCCACCAAACCCAAAUGAUGCUGUUCAUCCCCGCUCCAGGGGGGACACAGCGGAGGCCAUGGCUCUAGAAAAAGCAAACAGUUGGGAAGUGCUGGCAGUAAAUGUCGUUUCAACAGUUUAAAAGAGUGAAAUUGUGUUAUAAAUAUUUUAGAUGAUUGACUUAGAUUUUA